AAUAUUGGGCAAUGGGGGCAACCCUGACCCAGCAACGCCGCGUGAAGGAAGAAGGCUUUAGGGUUGUCCCCUUCUUUGACGAGGGACGAUAGCGACGGUUCCUCGAAAACAAGCCACGGCUAACUACGUGCCAGCAGCCGCGGUAAUACGUAGGUGGCAAGCGUUGUCCGGAUUUACUGGGUGUAAAGGGCGCGUAGGCGGGAUUGCAAGUCAGAUGUGAAAUCUCCGGGCUCAACCCGGAAAUUGCAUUUGAAACUGUAGUUCUUGAGUAUCGGAGAGGCAAGCGGAAUUCCUAGUGUAGCGGUGAAAUGCGUAGAUAUUAGGAGGAACACCAGUGGCGAAGGCGGCUUGCUGGACGACAACUGACGCUGAGGCGCGAAAGCGUGGGGAGCAAAC
This 396-nucleotide ribosomal RNA is filed under the name uncultured bacterium. Its description in RNAcentral is "partial 16S ribosomal RNA". It matches the Rfam family "Bacterial small subunit ribosomal RNA", at positions 360 to 773 of the family's 1533-position model. The record is from RNAcentral.